GAGAAAACUUAAAAGGGAAAAGAACAAAAGCGAGAAACUUAAAGCGCCAAAAAUUUCAGCAAAAAGAAAGAGGGAACCUUUUCAACUUAGGUUUUUCCACUUGUACUUCCGCAAAAACCUUUCCACUCUUCUUUUUCACUGAUCCAUUCAAUUUUCACGAAAAGAAGUGAAAAAAGACAAGACUACAAACAGAGGGAAGCUAAGAUAUAUUGAAGUUGCAACAUAUUCAAUUGGUAUUUAGAAGCUUUUCUUUGAGAUCUUCACCCAAACCCCUUUCUAUCAAUCCACACCAGGAAGUUUCUCUUGGUAGACCACCCACCCAUCAUGAGGUAUGGAAGAAGACCCAUACGAAAAUCGAAGACGGAAAAGAAGUUUGGGUCGAGCCAUGGGUUGAGGAUACCUAUGUAAGCUCUAAACUUACUUGGAAUAUAUUUGACUAGUAAUAUUAUUUUAUGGUUCCCGGAGGUACUUCCUAGAUUAUCUCCUCAUCUUGGUGUUGAGGCAAACUAGAGCAAUGCUUGAUUUUUGAAUCGAUAUAAUCUGGAGAGGAUGUAGAGGUGAGGUGAUCAUAAGCAUGGAGACGAUGAGGAUCAGGAGAAUAGAGAGCAUCGAGAGGCAGAAAUGGAGUAUUAGGUGUCAAUUGUUAUUUUUUCUAACUUUUGUUAUUUUGGAUCGUUUGAAGUCUAGUUUGCAUAACGUCGAAGU
Molecule: long non-coding RNA, 705 nt
Organism: Lycium ferocissimum
Lineage: Eukaryota; Viridiplantae; Streptophyta; Magnoliopsida; Solanales; Solanaceae
Exons: 4
Source: RefSeq, a predicted model, not a curated record